CCCUCAUGGUUGUCCCAUCCCAACAUGACAUGUGCAGCGAUGUGCGUCACAAAAAGGAUUGACAAAGACUAAAACAGGCGGCAGCACAUUUGACGGAAGAGAGAGAAUCGGCGCUGAGACAAAGAGCGAGUGACACACAGAAUGGCAAGGAAGCACAGAGCCAAGAUUCCCGGGUGACAUAUGUCAUCAGUGUUUGAACCUGACAGCGAUGAUAGUCACACACACACCUGGUGCGGCGAUAUUGUUCUCUGCAUUUGACCCAUCACCCUUGAUCACCCCGUGUGAGGUGAGGGGAGCAGUGAGCAGCUGCGGUGGCCGCGCCCGGGAAUAUGUUUUUGUUGAUUUAACCCCCCAAUUCCAACCUUUGAUACUGAGUACCACGCAGGGAGGUAAUGGCUCCCAUUUUUAUAGUCUUUGGUAUGACUCGACCUCCCCAUCUCAGGGCGGACCAUUUCUGUGUGUCCAUCAGUGAUGACAUCAUCAGCAUCAGCAUCAUCCCACAUAAGCACUAACUGUAUUCUGGUUGUAGGCCUUUUUGUUGUAUUGUUGUUUAAUGCACACAAAGGUCGUCCCGAUACCAAUAUUUUGGUACCGGCACCAAAAUGUAUUUCGAUACUUUUGUAUAUAAAGGGGACCACAAAAAAUGG
Nerophis ophidion (straightnose pipefish) is the source of this 647-nucleotide long non-coding RNA. RefSeq lists it as uncharacterized. NCBI's taxonomy places the organism in Eukaryota, Metazoa, Chordata, Actinopteri, Syngnathiformes, Syngnathidae. The record is from RefSeq and is a predicted model, not a curated record. The transcript has 2 exons.